AGUGAAAGAGAGUGUGUCUGCUAGUGAGAGAGAGAGUGGCUAGUGAGAGAGAGAGUGUGUCUGUCUGCUAGUGAGAGAGAGUGUGUCUGUCUGCUAGUGAGAGAGAGAGAGUGUGUCUGUCUGCUAGUGAGAGAGAGAGUGUGUCUGCUAGUGAGAGAGUGUGUCUGCUAGUGAGAGAGAGAGUGUGUCUGCCUGCUAGUGAGAGAGAGAGUGUGUCUGCUAGUGAGAGAG
Molecule: non-coding RNA, 231 nt
Organism: Pelobates cultripes (western spadefoot toad)
Lineage: Eukaryota; Metazoa; Chordata; Amphibia; Anura; Pelobatidae
Source: the annotation of a GenBank genome assembly